AUGGCAGCUACAUGCAAGUCAAAUGAAAAAGUGUUUGCCAUAUCAACUAUAUCCUCAAAAGAUAUAUUAAGCAUUCAUGUUGUUUUGAAUGAUAAUGACGAAUCUCUUGUUGAGGGAUUAAAGGAUAUUGGGAUGGAGAUUAUAGAAAGAUGUGAUGGUUUGCCACUUGCAGUUAAGGUGGUUGGAGGACUUUUGCUCAGCAAGGGAAAAACAAGAGGUGAUUGGCUUGAUGUUUGUAGUAAUGUCGCAUGGUCAAUGACUACAAUUAGCGAUGAUGUCAACCAAGCAGUGUAUGUGAGCUAUGAGGAAUUACCACAGGUUUUGAAGCAAUGUCUUUUAUAUUGUUCACUCUUUCCUAAGGAUGUAUUGAUCAAGAGUGCGGAUAUAGUCAAUAUGUGGAUUGCUGAAGGUUUCAUACAUAUCACAAGUAUGAAACAGCCAGAAGAUCUGGGAGCUGAGUACUACAAACAAUUAGUCUCACGGAAUCUUCUAGACCCGGAUUAUCGUUUUUAUGAUCAAAAAGCAUGCACCAUGCAUGAUGUUAUCCGCUCAUUUAGUCAGUCUGUAGUGAAACAUGAAGGUUUGUUUGUUGAGGAGGGGCAUAAUCCAAGUUUUACUUCAGGUACUUCCAAGUUGCGGCACCUGUCCAUAUCAAAGAAUGUAACCGAAUGGGAUGCUUUUCACAAACAAGCCUCUCCACGAACAUUGAUAUUAUUCGAAAGCCCCAGGGUUGAUUUAAAAGGUUUUUGGAACAACCUUUCUCUCCUGCGAGUACUUAGUCUACAAGGUGUAAAUGUUGUCGAGCUACCUGACUCGAUAAGCAACCUCAGACAUUUAAGGUACUUGGGACUUGCAGGUACAAGCAUAUCUGGGAUCCCACAAGGAAUAGGUGAUCUGAUGUUUAUGCAGUUCAUCGAACUUGCAGAUUGUGUAAAAAUUUCUCAUGUUCCAGAUAGCAUCUUGAAGCUGCGAAAGCUAAGGUAUAUCAACUUUGCUGGCACCAACAUAGCAUCAAUUCCUCGUGGAUUUGGGAAGCUGGAAGAUUUGGUCAUGAUAUCUGGGUUUCCAACUCAUUCAGAUGAUAAUACAGAUCAAGUAUGGUCCAGUCUGGAAGAACUAGGGCCUUUGUCGAGACUCACAAUGCUUGUCAUAGAAAGUUUGGAGAAGGCAUCUUCUGGUUCUGUGGCCGCUAGAGCAAAACUUAGUAGUAAAGCCCACCUAAGAAUUUUGAACCUGGGAUUUACACAGAAUAGGGAGGUGGAAGAGCAAAACAAUGGGGAGCAAGAGAGAAUCGAGGAGGUUUUGGGUAAUCUCUGUCCUCCAACCUGCAUAGAACAGCUUGCCAUCAUUGGAUACUUUGGACACAAACUUCCCCAGUGGAUGAGAAUGGUGCCAGUCUUUACCUUCUUAAAGCGGCUUGAGCUAUCAAGUUACGCUUGCUAUGAGCUGCCUUCUGGCUUAGGCCAACUCCCCUCUCUUGACUAUUUUUGGGUUGACCAAGCUCCAUUCAUCAAGUAUAUCGGUCAUGGUCUUCACAUGCCCUCAAUUGGUGGUCGGGACAUCGGCCUAGAUAAGACACUUUCUGGUGGUGCUGCUGUUGUUGCAUUUCCCAAGCUGAGAAAACUUGGGUUUCAGGGGAUUUUGGGACUGACAGAGUGGGAAUGGGAGCAGCAAAUCCCAGCUAUGACAACUUUAGAGGUGCUUACAAUUGUCAAUUGUCAGCUCAAGUAUCUCCCUCCUGGACUUGCACAUCAUGCAAAUGCACUGCGGGAGUUGGAUCUAAGAAACCUCUCGCACCUGGUCUCCAUACACAACUUCCCUUCACUCGUUGAGCUUCGCAUAGUUGACAACCGAACACUAGAGAGAAUCUACAACAAUCCAAAUUUGCAGCAUAUUUACAUCGUUAGCUGCCCAGGGCUAAAGGUAUUGGAAGAUUUGCCAUCACUCCAGAGCAUCGAAUGGGUGGAUGUGACUGCUCAAGUGCUCCCAGAUUACCUCCGGCACUCAAAGUUAGAGAAGUUGAUUGUACAAUGCUACAUAAGCUUGCUCAAACUGAUAUCCUUACAAGAUGCCAACUCUUCGGAAUCCGAGUGGGGAAAGAUCCAGCAUGUUCACCAACUAAAAGCAACUGGGUACAUAUCAGCAGAAGAGACACGAUAUAUCUCCUACACCAAGGAGCCCUACUCCUACAAAACAGACAUUGGUACGUAA
Molecule: ribosomal RNA, 2211 nt
Filed under: Triticum aestivum (bread wheat)
Lineage: Eukaryota; Viridiplantae; Streptophyta; Magnoliopsida; Poales; Poaceae
Description: partial small subunit ribosomal RNA
Source: RNAcentral